This is a long non-coding RNA of Corvus hawaiiensis (hawaiian crow), 3683 nucleotides long. RefSeq lists it as uncharacterized. The transcript is spliced from 2 exons. The record is from RefSeq and is a predicted model, not a curated record. Lineage: Eukaryota; Metazoa; Chordata; Aves; Passeriformes; Corvidae.
UGCGUGCGGGCGCAGGGAGGGAAAGGCCGCUCUGCCGGCGGGCCCGCCCCCGCACGCCCGGCUGCUGGGGCGCACGGCGUGUGCCGCCGUGUCAUGUACACUCACGAGUGUGUUUGUACCGAGGUACCUGCCUGAGAACGCGGGAGGGAAGAGGAACACCAAGAAAUACAGGUACUACUCUUGAAGUCUGUCACAAGCUCAAGAGCUCUCAGAUGACCAAGAGAUUUCUUGAUGGCAUCUUCCUUUUACGUUGCUGUUGUGCUAAGUUUUAAAUUCUUCCUCAGGACACUGGCCCACUGAUUUGGUGAGCAGAACAACUCUGGAACUGUUAUGGAACUGUCACAAUACAACUUGUGUCUUGCUCCCCAGUGCUCUUUCCUGGGGCUAGGGUGGGUGGAGCAGCAUCUGAGGAAACACAGCAGAAACCGGAAAAAAUGCCUUCAGGAUGUUUAAGCCAAAAUAAACCAUAAAGGUGUCAUUAUGGAGCCUACCCAGAGAUUUAAAACAAUGUAUCAGAUAAAGCAGCCAAGGCGAGGCAGAUACCCAGCUCCAGGGCUGCUGAGAAAGCAACGGAAGGCAGAGAGGGUCUGCCCAGCCUGAAACAAAAGAAGAGUCCCAGAGAAAGGGCAGGGCAAAGUGGAUCCAGGAGGUUGUCUCAGACAAAAGAAGCCUACUGGAAAAAGGAAGAUUAUCUGGAAGCUGCACACACAGAGGCAGGGAAACUAAUGAGCAACUAUCUGAGGCUGCUUCUCCUUCUACAACCACGUGGUCACACGAAUUUAUCCAAGCUCUCUGCAGAGGGGGUUAACUUGAGGAACAGAAAUAGGCAUGCACAUCUGCUGUUUUCAAACAACUUACCCAACUGCUAUGUAACAUUUUCUUUCAGAAGGCUGUGCUUGCAGUCACUUUAAUCCACCGGUCACAUCCCGCUAGAUGUGCUGACUUAGAAGCAGAGCCUGGCAGCAGUCAUCACAGGAUCAUCUCUGCAAGAGGGACGUAUUGCAGAGUUGCACCCCAGGAGUGGCAGAAGUCUGUUCAGCCAUGAAGCUGGUGUAAAAGGAAGGUUCAGAAGCAGCAGUAGGCAGGGCAUCUCUCAUGAAACCAGAGCCCAGAAGUCUGUGUGUCUUCACUUCUUCCUAAGGAAGCUGCAUUGAGGCACUCUAUUGUUUUCCAUCUCUGCCCAUCCCCGGUAUUUUUCCCUUGCAUGCCAAGCUCCCAGGUUGUGCAAGCAGCUUUUGUUCCUUAAUUCGCAUCAAAAGCAUGUUUUCCUAACAGAUGUGUCAAUUCCCUGCAGUGCUAAACCUUUACAAGUACUGGGAUCGUCACAAUUCCCAACGAUCAAAAUGAGUAGUUUCGCUGGAUUAUCUUCACAGCUCACAGAGGCAGGCUUUGAACACUGGGUCCCUCCCAGGUAUCAGAUACACAUCAUGCGUCUGCAGUACAGCCUCUACAUCCAGGCCAGAUAGCCAGAUGUACCACACUGAAAUCAAGGGAAUGUUUCAGGCUUACAUGGAAUAGCUAAACAUUUGUCAUUUGUCCUUCUAUGGUUUCAGAUUCAUGGUGCAAAGGAAACAUUCCACAAGUUAUAUACACAACUGAGAAACAUUUCUUUCAGGGCAGAAACAUAAAUGCAGAAAUGAUGGUGCUCAGAGCCACUGUGCAGCCCCAGUUAGUCCUUAGCCACGUUACCAUCAACAAAUAACCACAGUUAUAUGAAAAGACUCUACAAACCAAUAGUAGCUGUUUCCAAAUUAAUGGAUACCAAUCUCUUUCCUUGGCCCUGUCUUUCCCACAUCCCAGCCACAAGCAGACUGUAUGUGCAGAGGGAAUUAGAAGCCACCAGUCAGAAAGUCAAAACAAGGAAGUCCGUUGCUGGUAUCUGUUGCAAGAUGUCUUCAGGGAAGAAGAAAUCUUGGUCCUGAAAAACAACUGGCAGUCCAAUGCUUACUGCUUCUUCCUAGUCCUGGUUUUUCUUCCCUUCUAUCUGCACCUUUAUUGCCUUUCCCCCUUUUUUUACCUCCUGUUUGUUUUUCAGCUGAGGGACUUGAGCUCCAUUUCACCCAAGCUUUCUCCAGCUCCAGUUCCAGCCUGCCUGGGGCCACCUGCUCAGUCACUCCAGUCCUUAAGCCAGUCCAGAAGUGUGUUGUUGGCUGCUCAGUUCUGACUCACUCUGCUGCUGCCAGACCCAUUGCAGAAGCAGGAGGGUCACUGCUGCCUGCAACACCCACAUUGCAAAUCCCAUCCUUCUUGAAGGCUGCCUGUUGCAGAGCCAGGCAGAGGAGGGAUGCUAUGGGAUCAGUUGUGCAGCUACCCCAGCACCUUUCUCUCCACCUUCUCGUUUUGCCUUCUUCCCUGCUCUAGGCCGGGGAGCAGCUCCCCUGUGCCAGCAAGGUACCUCACAGCACCGGCCUGUGGAAGCAGGGGGAACUACAGCAAAAGGUCGGGUAAAACCCACAAGAAGCCGACACGAGCCCAGGAACCUGCUCGCCCUGCUUUGUCCUUUGCACGCAGAUGGCAACAGCGGGCUGGUGAGCGUUCAGCUGCACACGUCUGCGGGGUUACAAGAGGGAUCAGACAGAAGGCCUGGCUACGGCUCUUCCUCUGUAACUCACUUUGUCCAAGCAGGGAAAACCAGCCAUACUACAGCAUAAGCAAAUACAUUGAAAAGUGAGGCCAGGGCAGCAAAUGGUCUGUUACAUUUGCUCAGCUAGGCAGAAACAAAAGCCAGGCUUGCACUAUUUGCUUUGCACAGCAAAUUAGUGCUCAGCGACUCUUUUCUGGGAGGCUGAAGGGGAAGGGUUUUCCUGGAUACUUAACUUAUUAAAGUAUUGCCAAAUCUGCAGAAAUAAUUUACUCCUGAUGGAUACAGUACUGAUGAGUUUCACAGCCUGCCAGACACAGAGGGUAAAGCCCUGAAUAAAUCACAACAAAUGAAAAUAUUGUUAGCAGUUUCAUAAUUUAAUGAAAAAGUACUUGUAAAAAGGGGACAUCUGAAAAAGACCGAGUCCAUAUUGGAAAAUUGAAUAUAUAUAUAUUUAUAUAUAUAAAACAAAAUGCAAAAACACAAAAAAAAUUUGACAAAUAAGGUUAAGAGGUAAUACUUCAAACAGUUAGCCACCGAACGCACAAUAAAAACUAGCAAAUGCACUUUGGGGACAAUACUUGAGAACUACAUAACCAAGGGCUCCUUCAUAUGUCUAUUAAAAUAAUGUAAAAAUUAGCAAAACCAUUGCCCAGACUGGAAACAACUGAAUUGAUAACCCCAGAAGAGCAGAAACGCUGAGUUUUGCUGAAGCACCAUUUUCCUCUCUCUUCUGUCAUAUGCUUCCAGCCACAAAAUAACAUGAACACUUUGCUGACCUCCCAGAUAAGUGUUCCCAAUAAAAGCUUCGUAAAAUUUCAUGGCCAGUGAGAGAGGAUUACUAAUAAAUAUUGAAGGAGAACUAAGAGAAUCAGAACCGGAAUACAAAUGAACAGACAUUUGUUUACUUAUUCUGAAUGACCCAUGGCUUAGAACACAAAGCAUUUCCCAUUAAAAUAAAAUAUGUGGAAACCUAAAUUGCUACUGCAUAUUUACACCAAAAGAAAUAAUUUUGGAGAUACAGCUCUAGAAAGAUCAAUUACACAAAUAUACAUAAAAUCAAGAAGUAAAAAAAAAAACAAAAAAAUUAAGAUGCAUGAAG